CCUACGGGGUGCAGCAGUGAGGAAUAUUGGUCAAUGGACGAGAGUCUGAACCAGCCAAGUAGCGUGAAGGAUGACUGCCAUAUGGGUUGUAAACUUCUUUUAUAUGGGAAUAAAACGUUCCACGUGUGGGAUUUUGUAUGUACCAUAUGAAUAAGGAUCGGCUAACUCCGUGCCAGCAGCCGCGGUAAUACGGAGGAUCCGAGCGUUAUCCGGAUUUAUUGGGUUUAAAGGGAGCGUAGGUGGAUUGUUAAGUCAGUUGUGAAAGUUUGCGGCUCAACCGUAAAAUUGCAGUUGAAACUGGCAGUCUUGAGUACAGUAGAGGUGAGCGGAAUUCGUGGUGUAGCGGUGAAAUGCUUAGAUAUCACGAAGAACUCCGAUUGCGAAGGCAGUUCACUGGACUGCAACUGACACUGAGGCUCGAAAGUGUGGGUAUCAAACAGGAUUAGAUACCCCUGUAGUC
Molecule: ribosomal RNA, 460 nt
Filed under: uncultured bacterium
Lineage: Bacteria
Description: partial 16S ribosomal RNA
Rfam family: Bacterial small subunit ribosomal RNA
Source: RNAcentral